This 608-nucleotide long non-coding RNA is filed under the name Vombatus ursinus (common wombat). RNAcentral describes it as "lncRNA (ENSVURG00010017886.1)". The record is from RNAcentral. Lineage: Eukaryota; Metazoa; Chordata; Mammalia; Diprotodontia; Vombatidae.
GCUCACUCUUCUACUUUUUCCUCUCAACUAAGGAGUAUGUGAGUACCUUUUGAGCCUCUCAAUGCAAGGGUAAGUCUGGUGCAUCAUGGCAAUUGCUCCUAUGUGGUAGGAUUCAACUAGGCAAGGGUGGACUACCUUUUCUACUUUUCCAAGUAGGUAACCGAUCAUUGAUUGAGAUAAGCUUGAAGGUGACCUUCUGAGUGCUGAAUAUUUUCAGGUCGUGGGUAUAUCAGGAAGCUGUGAGGAGUCCUGUGCCAUUCUGAGAUGUCUCUGCUUCGCGGCUGCCAUCACCAUCACCAUCACCACGGAAGGGCAGCAGGGUCCACAAGCCUAUGAUGACUUUCUGAAAGGGAGCUUGAUGACUUGGGGAUUUGGAAGUGGAGUGAUAAAUGUAGUGAAGAAAUAGAUGCUUCUGGUGAAGAUGACUUAAAACCAACCUCUUCGAAGCCCUCAAAAGGUUAUGUGGGAUUCAGAGAGAGCUUACUGAUUAUCUAACCCAAUGGAGUUCUUGACCUGGAGUCCAUGAAAUUUAUAUAUAUGUAUGUAUGUAUGUUUUGUAUGUGUAUGUGUAUGUGUAUGUAUAUGUAUGUUUGUAUAUGUAUGUAUAU